Molecule: long non-coding RNA, 1164 nt
Filed under: Ananas comosus (pineapple)
Lineage: Eukaryota; Viridiplantae; Streptophyta; Magnoliopsida; Poales; Bromeliaceae
Description: long non-coding RNA (ACOM_LNC014171)
Source: RNAcentral
AUCGUGGAACUAAGGGUGCGUUUGGUUCGAGUUAUCCUGGCAGGAUUACAGGCAAUCCUGCCAGGAUAACUAUGUUUGGUUAAUCCGCUAUGUAAUCUAGUUGUUAAUGUAGGAUUACAAAUCGAGCAGGAUUACAUCGAAAAUAUUAAUGGGAGGGGGGUCGUGUAUCUUGCAUUACUGAAACCCGUUAAUACUACAUAUUAUGUAAAAUGACAAUUUUACCCUCCAACAACCCCAAAUCUAAUUAACAGCAUUAUUUUCAUCUCUAUCUCGCCUCCCCCCGGCCCUCUCUCUCGCACGCCGCUUUCUCUCGCUCUCUCUCUCUGGACGUCUCUCUCUCUCUCUCUCUCUCUCUCUCUCUCUCACACGAACACCUAUCAUCUUCUAUUGCGUCGUCCUCCCAAAUAAUCAUCACGAUCUCCUUCCCUCCAUUCGUCAUUUCCGCAAAAAAUAAUAUUCAAAUGACCACAACAAGGGCAAUUUUGGAAAAAACUAUACUUUUAUGUUAGGAUUACUAAAUUUUAUAAACUGAACCAAACAUAUUAAUGCUAUAAACACUGUAAUCUAGUAUUACAUUACUGUAUUAAACCAAACGCUCUAAUGUAACAUUAGUAGUAAUCUCACGCCGAAAUCCAAGAUACCUGGAUAUGUCGAGAUACUUUGUAAUAUUACAUAACUCGAACCAAACGAGCCCUAAAUCCCAUGUUCCAUUGGCCAUUAAGGCAUCUAACCAUUGUACUCUAAAAGCUUACGCUUUUAAGCUUUUAGAGUACAACGGUUGUUUCACAUGGUAUCAGAGCAGGAGGUCCUGAGUUCGAGUCACGCCAGGCUCCUAACAUAUUAAUUUCCUCUCAUUUAAUUCAAGUCCAUGUCAUGGGCCAACUAAAAAGUCUCAAGCCCAGACGUGAGGGGGAGUGUUAAAUAUAAAAUUAUAUAAACACCGUUCUCGAACAGCUUAAGCUUUUAGAGUACAACGGUUGUUUCACAAUAAUAGCCAUUAAAAAUUGACAAGUUUAGAAUAAUUUGAUCACAAAGUAAACUAUAUCGAAAAAAUAUAAAAUUUUAUUUCUAAAAUCUUUAAAUAUCUUAGAUUAGUUUUAACGAUAUGAAUUGUUAAUUUAAGCACCCUAAAAUAAAAAAACAAAACUAUAAUACAGGAGCUCU